RNAcentral lists this ribosomal RNA (660 nucleotides) under uncultured bacterium. RNAcentral describes it as "bacterial SSU rRNA". It matches the Rfam family "Bacterial small subunit ribosomal RNA", at positions 94 to 788 of the family's 1533-position model. The record is from RNAcentral.
AGUGGCGGACGGGUGAGUAACGCGUGAGAAUCUGCCUUGGGGUCGGGGACAACCACUGGAAACGGUGGCUAAUACCGGAUAAGCCGAUUGGUGAAAGAUUUAUUGCCCGAAGAGGAGCUCGCGUCUGAUUAGCUAGUUGGUGAGGUAAGAGCUCACCAAGGCAGCGAUCAGUAGCUGGUCUGAGAGGACGAUCAGCCACACUGGGACUGAGACACGGCCCAGACUCCUACGGGAGGCAGCAGUGGGGAAUUUUCCGCAAUGGGCGAAAGCCUGACGGAGCAAGACCGCGUGAGGGAGGAAGGCUCUUGGGUUGUAAACCUCUUUUCUCAGGGAAGAAGCUCUGACGGUACCUGAGGAAUCAGCCUCGGCUAACUCCGUGCCAGCAGCCGCGGUAAUACGGAGGAGGCAAGCGUUAUCCGGAAUUAUUGGGCGUAAAGCGUCCGCAGGUGGCGAUUCAAGUCUGCUGUCAAAGCACGGGGCUUAACUCCGUAAAGGCAGUGGAAACUGAAUAGCUAGAGUGCCGUAGGGGUAGAGGUAAUUCCCGGUGUAGCGGUGAAAUGCGUAGAGAUCGGGAAGAACAUCGGUGGCGAAAGCGCUCUACUGGACGGCAACUGACACUCAGGGACGAAAGCUAGGGGAGCGAAUGGGAUUAGAUACCCC